GAUGAACGCUGGCGGCGUGCCUAAUACAUGCAAGUCGAGCGAACAGAUGAGGAGCUUGCUCCUCUGACGUUAGCGGCGGACGGGUGAGUAACACGUGGAUAACCUACCUAUAAGACUGGGAUAACUUCGGGAAACCGGAGCUAAUACCGGAUAAUAUAUUGAACCGCAUGGUUCAAUAGUGAAAGACGGUUUUGCUGUCACUUAUAGAUGGAUCCGCGCCGCAUUAGCUAGUUGGUAAGGUAACGGCUUACCAAGGCAACGAUGCGUAGCCGACCUGGGAGGGUGAUCGGCCACACUGGAACUGAGACACGGUCCAGACUCCUACGGGAGGCAGCAGUAGGGAAUCUUCCGCAAUGGGCGAAAGCUUGACGGAGCAACGCCGCGUGAGUGAUGAAGGUCUUCGGAUCGUAAAACUCUGUUAUUAGGGAAGAACAAAUGUGUAAGUAACUAUGCACGUCUUGACGGUACCUAAUCAGAAAGCCACGGCUAACUACGUG
Molecule: ribosomal RNA, 497 nt
Filed under: uncultured bacterium
Lineage: Bacteria
Description: partial 16S ribosomal RNA
Rfam family: Bacterial small subunit ribosomal RNA
Source: RNAcentral